RNAcentral lists this ribosomal RNA (234 nucleotides) under uncultured bacterium. RNAcentral's name for it is "partial 16S ribosomal RNA". It matches the Rfam family "Bacterial small subunit ribosomal RNA", at positions 15 to 241 of the family's 1533-position model. The record is from RNAcentral.
GAUCCUGGCUCAGGAUGAACGCUGGCUACAGGCUUAACACAUGCAAGUCGAGGGGCAGCAUGAACUUAGCUUGCUAAGUUUGAUGGCGACCGGCGCACGGGUGAGUAACACGUAUCCAACCUGCCGAUGACUCGGGGAUAGCCUUUCGAAAGAAAGAUUAAUACCCGAUGGCAUAGUUCUUCCGCAUGGUAGAACUAUUAAAGAAUUUCGGUCAUCGAUGGGGAUGCGUUGCUA